AUCGCUUCUCGGCCUUUUGGCUAAGAUCAAGUGUAGUAUCUGUUCUUAUCAGUUUAAUAUCUGAUAUGUCCUCUAUAUGAGGACAACAUAUUAAGCCGAUUUUUGGCAGCGGGAGUUGAAAAAGGAGCUAGCUCCGUUCACUCCAAGCAUCGCCCUGGUACUGCAGUGCCGCCGGGAAUGGUGCACGCUUC
This is a small nuclear RNA of Cololabis saira (Pacific saury), 191 nucleotides long. RefSeq annotates it as U2 spliceosomal RNA. NCBI's taxonomy places the organism in Eukaryota, Metazoa, Chordata, Actinopteri, Beloniformes, Belonidae. The transcript has a single exon. The record is from RefSeq and is a predicted model, not a curated record.